AGACCCGAAACCCGGUGAUCUAGCCAUGGGCAGGUUGAAGGUUGGGUAACACUAACUGGAGGACCGAACCGACUAAUGUUGAAAAAUUAGCGGAUGACCUGUGGCUGGGGGUGAAAGGCCAAUCAAACCGGGAGAUAGCUGGUUCUCCCCGAAAGCUAUUUAGGUAGCGCCUCGUGAAUUCAUCUCCGGGGGUAGAGCACUGUUUCGGCUAGGGGGCCAUCCCGGCUUACCAACCCGAUGCAAACUGCGAAUACCGGAGAAUGUUAUCACGGGAGACACACGGCGGGUGCUAACGUCCGUCGUGAAGAGGGAAACAACCCAGACCGCCAGCUAAGGUCCCAAAGUCAUGGUUAAGUGGGAAACGAUGUGGGAAGGCCCAGACAGCCAGGAUGUUGGCUUAGAAGCAGCCAUCAUUUAAAGAAAGCGUAAUAGCUCACUGGUCGAGUCGGCCUGCGCGGAAGAUGUAACGGGGCUAAACCAUGCACCGAAGCUGCGGCAGCGACACUCAGGUGUUGUUGGGUAGGGGAGCGUUCUGUAAGCCUGUGAAGGUGGCCUGUGAGGGUUGCUGGAGGUAUCAGAAGUGCGAAUGCUGACAUAAGUA
This 601-nucleotide ribosomal RNA is filed under the name Salmonella enterica. RNAcentral describes it as "partial 23S ribosomal RNA". It matches the Rfam family "Bacterial large subunit ribosomal RNA", at positions 711 to 1308 of the family's 2925-position model. The record is from RNAcentral. Lineage: Bacteria; Pseudomonadati; Pseudomonadota; Gammaproteobacteria; Enterobacterales; Enterobacteriaceae. RNAcentral also lists the same sequence under 1 other name.